This is a long non-coding RNA of Aricia agestis (brown argus), 108 nucleotides long. RefSeq lists it as uncharacterized. The transcript has 3 exons. NCBI's taxonomy places the organism in Eukaryota, Metazoa, Arthropoda, Insecta, Lepidoptera, Lycaenidae. The record is from RefSeq and is a predicted model, not a curated record.
CAAAUAAUUUAUUUCCAGAAAAAUACAAUAUUAUACAACUUCAGAUUAAGACAAAUCCCCACACUAGGCAUAGCCUGUCCUGUGGGGCCAGAAAAUUCGAGAGAUAUU